GAAGGCCUCAAAGCCUCAGGGAGCCUAUUUCCUCUGAGAGCAGAACACAAACUGGAAAGCUGCUUGAUAUAUUUGCUGGCCCGGGGAAGGUCCAGACUUCAGGGGCAGAGAAAAAGAUUCUCCUCAACACGCUGCUGGCGGGAAGAGGGCUCGCUCUCAAACCUCCACCUACACCUUGAGUCCUGGGAUUUGUGCAGAGAAGGAGUGCUGAUCGUAUUCAAAAAUGUGUGCAGAUGGAAUGAGCAGGAUCUGGAUUGAUUAGCUGCACAGAUUGAAGCGAUCAGAAAACUCCACGAAUAUCCGCAAAUGACUGCUUGGACGUGGCUUUGAAACUUCGUCUGAAAUGAAUUAAAUGACUUCCUCUAUGAAAAUAUGAGAAACUUUUAUUUUACGCUAAGGAAAACAUUCAACAUGGUAGUUAUGUAGUGGAUUGUUUUGAGUGAUACACAGUUAAAAAGAAGCACAAAAAUACAAAUAAAAAAAAUUGUGUGCAUUUAUUGUAUUUUUUAUAAUUUAUCGUCAUAAA
Xiphophorus hellerii (green swordtail) is the source of this 526-nucleotide long non-coding RNA. RefSeq lists it as uncharacterized. The transcript is spliced from 3 exons. The record is from RefSeq and is a predicted model, not a curated record. Lineage: Eukaryota; Metazoa; Chordata; Actinopteri; Cyprinodontiformes; Poeciliidae.